UUCAAGAUAGCUCAGACAGUAGAGCAUGGGAUUCUUAAUCUCAGGGUCUGGGUUCGAGCUCCACAUUGUGCAAAA
Podarcis lilfordi (Lilford's wall lizard) is the source of this 75-nucleotide non-coding RNA. Lineage: Eukaryota; Metazoa; Chordata; Lepidosauria; Squamata; Lacertidae. The record is from the annotation of a GenBank genome assembly.